Molecule: ribosomal RNA, 717 nt
Filed under: Triticum aestivum (bread wheat)
Lineage: Eukaryota; Viridiplantae; Streptophyta; Magnoliopsida; Poales; Poaceae
Description: partial small subunit ribosomal RNA
Source: RNAcentral
GUCGCCCGGGCCCUCAACCGCCGGAUCUCCGACCUCGUCGCCCUCCUCUUCCGCCACAAGAGCGCGGGGUCCUUCGGCGCCGUCGCGGGCUUCGCCAUCGCCGUCGUCUUCGCGUGGAAGUUCCUGCGCUCCUCCUCGACGCCCCGGCCCCGCCGCCCCGCCGCCCCCAAGCGGCCCUCGCCCGCCGGCUCCGCCGCGCCUGCCCCCGACGGCCCGGCCGAGCCCGCCGGCGACUCCGGGACGCUGACGACGCGGCAGAUCGUGGCGAGGCGGCUCGGCGGGUGCCGAAGGGUCACUUGCCAACUAAUCGGUAUCGUAUUUGAGGAGAAAACUCCCGAGGAGCUUCAGAAUCAUGCCACCGUUAAGCCCUCAGUGGUGGAACUACUACUGGAAAUAUCCAAAUACUGUGAUUUUUAUUUGAUGGAAACUGUACUUGAUGAUAAGAGUGAGGAGAAUGCUCUUAUGGCCCUGGAGAAAGCCGGGCUUUUCAAUACUGGUGGCUUGAUGAAAGAAAAGGUACUCUUUUGCAGCAGUGAAGUAGGCCGAACUUCGUUUGUUCGACAGUUGGAGUCAGAUUUCCACAUCGACGCAAGCCUCGAGAUAAUUUCCCAACUAUCUCGGUUCAUCCGGUGCCAGCUAUUCGUUUCCUCCAUGGAAGGAGGGCAGCUCGCAGCCAAUGUAUUUAACUCUCCGAGCCUGGAGCAGUUCUUCUCUUGA